GAUGAAGAACGUAGCGAAAUGCGAUAAGUAAUGUGAAUUGCAGAAUUCAGUGAAUCAUCGAAUCUUUGAACGCACAUUGCGCCCGCCAGUAUUCUGGCGGGCAUGCCUGUCUGAGCGUCAUUACAACCCUCAAGCUCAGCUUGGUGUUGGGCCCCGCCGCCCCGGCGGGCCCUAAAGUCAGUGGCGGUGCCGUCCGGCUCCGAGCGUAGUAAUUCUUCUCGCUCUGGAGGUCCGGUCGUGUGCUCGCCAGCAACCCCCAAUUUUUUUCAGGUUGACCUCGGAUCAGGUAGGGAUACCCGCUGAACUUAAGCAUAUCAAUAAGCGGAGGA
Molecule: unclassified non-coding RNA, 329 nt
Filed under: soil metagenome
Description: partial contains 5.8S ribosomal RNA, internal transcribed spacer 2, and large subunit ribosomal RNA
Rfam family: 5.8S ribosomal RNA (bases 1-120)
Source: RNAcentral